This 497-nucleotide ribosomal RNA is filed under the name uncultured bacterium. RNAcentral's name for it is "partial 16S ribosomal RNA". It matches the Rfam family "Bacterial small subunit ribosomal RNA", at positions 28 to 507 of the family's 1533-position model. The record is from RNAcentral.
GAUGAACGCUGGCGGCGUGCCUAAUACAUGCAAGUCGAGCGAACAGAUGAGGAGCUUGCUCCUCUGACGUUAGCGGCGGACGGGUGAGUAACACGUGGAUAACCUACCUAUAAGACUGGGAUAACUUCGGGAAACCGGAGCUAAUACCGGAUAAUAUAUUGAACCGCAUGGUUCAAUAGUGAAAGACGGUUUUGCUGUCACUUAUAGAUGGAUCCGCGCCGCAUUAGCUAGUUGGUAAGGUAACGGCUUACCAAGGCAACGAUGCGUAGCCGACCUGAGAGGGUGAUCGGCCACACUGGAACUGAGACACGGUCCAGACUCCUACGGGAGGCAGGAGUAGGGAAUCUUCCGCAAAGGGCGAAAGCCUGACGGAGCAACGCCGCGUGAGUGAUGAAGGUCUUCGGAUCGUAAAACUCUGUUAUUAGGGAAGAACAAAUGUGUAAGUAACUAUGCACGUCUUGACGGUACCUAAUCAGAAAGCCACGGCUAACUACGUG